UACGAAGGGGGCUAGCGUUGCCCGGAAUUAUUGGGCGUAAAGGGUGCGUAGGCGGUUUGGUAAGUCUUAUGUGAAAUCUACAGGCUCAACUUGUAGUCUGCAUGAGAAACUGCCGGGCUUGAGUAUGGGAGAGGUGAGUGGAAUUCCUGGUGUAGCGGUGAAAUGCGUAGAUAUCAGGAGGAACACCUGUGGCGAAAGCGGCUCACUGGACCAUAACUGACGCUGAUGCACGAAAGCUAGGGGAGCAAACAGG
RNAcentral lists this ribosomal RNA (253 nucleotides) under uncultured bacterium. RNAcentral's name for it is "partial 16S ribosomal RNA". It matches the Rfam family "Bacterial small subunit ribosomal RNA", at positions 524 to 776 of the family's 1533-position model. The record is from RNAcentral.